Molecule: long non-coding RNA, 414 nt
Filed under: Physcomitrium patens
Lineage: Eukaryota; Viridiplantae; Streptophyta; Bryopsida; Funariales; Funariaceae
Description: long non-coding RNA (PPAT_LNC010818)
Source: RNAcentral
UAAGAUCUUGGUGAUAUUCCUUCCAUCAAACCUCCCAACUUUGUCCACUACUACUUGUAAGGCCUUAGUAGUGUUUCUAUCCUGUCCAUAUACCUAUUGUCUUUCUUCCAUAAAUUGAGCAAAUGCCCUGAAUAAAUCAUGGGCACCCACUUCUCUUGAUAAUAAAAACCCUUGAUUUGAUCCCCCAUUUCAACUUGUUGAAAAAUCAAUGCCUUAAGGCUCUCUCAGUGGAAGCACUAAUAUGUCGCGGUAGAGAGAGUUUGCCUCAAGCAAACGCUAGGCUUAUGGCUAUCACUAAUUAUUCAAUCAAGCUUGAAAAUAAGAGAAGCCCUAAGUUUAUAUAUAAUUUUUCCCUUUUGAUUAAUUACACCUAAUGCACAAUCCUCAAGUAACCCACAACUUCCAAAAUAUGAU